CAUCGUUUGGUUCUGUUUUCUCAACAGUUUUGAACUUUAUCCAUGGUUAGGCUCAGCGUCAGAUGGGAAGAAGAGAAAGACUAGUCGGUACAGAGGAAUCAGGAGAAGGCCUUGGGGAAGAUGGGCCGCUGAGAUUCGUGAUCCAAUCAAAGGAGUUCGAGUUUGGCUUGAGACUUUCAACACAGCUGAAGAAGCUGCAAGAGCUUAUGAUCUUGAAGCUAAGAGAAUCCGUGGAGCUAAAGCUAAGCUCAAUUUCCCUAACGAAUCCUCUAGAAAGCGAAAAGCCGAGGCGCCUAAGACUGUGCAACAGAUUGAGGAGAAGCAUGAGGCUGAUCUUGGAUUGGCGGUGGCUAGCUCAGUGCCUAGUAGUAGCUGUCUUGAUUUCUUGUGGGAGGAGAAUAAUCCGGACACGCUUCUUAUCGAUACACAAUGGCUAGAAGAUGUCAUCAUGGGCGAUGCGAAGAAGAAACAUGAACCUAAUGAUAGUGAAGAAGCCAACGUUAAUGCUGCUCCGCUUUCGGAAGAGCUACUAGCUUUUGAAAACCAGACCGACAAUGCUGCUCUGCUUUCAGAAGAGCUACUAGCUUUUGAAAACAAGACAGAAUUUUUCUCGCAUAUGCCUUUUAUGGAGGGAAAUUGUGAUUCCUUAACGUCUCUGAAUAGUCUCUUUGAAGGAGGUAAUGACAUGGGUCUUUGGUCCUGAACAGUUCUAUUGUAAAAAUAAAAUGAGUGUUUAAUAUUGAGUUCCUGUUCGACUUGUAUGUAUUUAAAGGUUGUUCUUGUCAUUUUCAAAUGUCAAACAAAAACAGAUUGUUCAUAAAAAGUUCAAUGUCAAACAAAAACAGAUCGUAUGAAUCGUGUUUUGAUCUUUUUUGUUGGUUUAUGAAGUUUUAAGCAGAAUGUAUAGAAUCUUUGCGAAGAACAAAAGCUCGAUUCAUAUUUGUGAUAAAGCGCAAAAUAUAGUUUCGACUCAAACAAAAAGGUGCAGAACAGAAAAAUCUAAGGGUCUUAAGAGAAACAAGUGAGAAGAAAAAACAGUUACGGUUCGAUAACAAAAAAGCAUGUCUAUAACCAUGUAACCAUUGAGUAAAGGCUAUCAACUUUACUCCCAACCAGCAGCUGGAGCACCCGGGGGUGGCACAGCAGUGUCCCAUCCACCGUCUGCCGGUGCAGCUGGAACAGCAAAAAAAAAAAAAACGCAAGAAACAAAACAUUAAAAUCAUGAUUUGCAAGAAUAGUGUUCACACGGUUAUCUGUCAAAAACUCACCAGCGGAAUCACUCCAAGAACCAGCGGCAGGUGCAGCAGAGAUUGGAGCCUGAGCCUCUCCUGGCCAUGCAGCAUCAGGGAUCUGAGCGGUGGUCCAUUGGUCUCCACCAACCAUUCCAUAUUCCGGAGCAGGAAGUCCAUAUUCUGCCUGAGGGGCAGCUUCAUCUUCAUCCUCUGGCUUAGUCUCCUCAGGCUCCCUGUAAAAGAACAGAUCAACCUGUACAACAACACAACAUAUGUAGUAGUCGGUCAAUAAACAGGAAAAGUUUAAAUGAAUUGUUGUCUUUUUAAUCAAUGAGUUCCAAAAAUGAUAUUCCUCUUACCAUGACAUCCCACUUCUGUGCAGCACCAAUGGUUCCACGCAUCUGAAGGACCAUACGAGCAAGAAGCCAGAAAAGACACCCAAUGCUGUGCUUUCCCUUGUUGUUGGCAGGGAUACCAAUGUCAACAAAUCUCAUUGGAGAGUCAGUGUCACAGAAAGCAAUGAUGGGAAUGUUUCCCAAAGCACCUUCCUUGAUUGGCUGCAACACACACAAGACAUUAAUCAAUACAACAAGACAUCAACCAUAACUGGUACAAAUUUUAUAGAAGAUUUUACCUGGUGGUCAGUUCUUGGGUCAGUAAGAAUCAGCAGCCUGGGUUCACUGAAGGAUGUUUGCAUCUGAUUGGUGAAGGUACCAGGAGUGUGCCUUCCAGCAAUGGCAUUGGCUCCAGUGUACUGAGCAAACUUCAAGACGGCUCUCUGUCCAUAGGGCCUAGCAGACUGAACAAUGAUGUCCUGUGGGUUCUCAAUGGCAACAAUAACUCUAGCAGCCAUCUGGAGCUUAUCCCAUGUUUUGCCAAGGUUGAAGAUGUAAAUACCUGAGGAGGAAGAAAACUUCAAGAACUAAGUUCCUGGCACUAGCACUACUAAAACAGACUAACAAAAACAAACUCGAAUCAAAAUGUUCAAUCCCAAAAUUGACUUUUUUGUUUAAACACACAUAAAGAGAUACAAAUCAAACCAAAUGAAACAUGCGUCUAUACGCAUUUCUUCAUAUACACUUAAAAACAAUUUCUGCAAACAAGAACACUAAAGAAGACACAAAAACAAGCCUUUUCUUAGCUACGAAUGCAGAGAAGAAGUGUAAGUGAUGACAGAAACAGCUAGUUGCAGCAUUUGAGCAUUUUUUUAGUCAUUGACGUAUUUAGAUCCGUCAUGAAUAAACUCUACUUCAGAUAUAAAAACAACCUAUAAAUCCAAAACCAAAGCAGCAGCAACAAAAACAAACAGAUCAUCAACAUCCAUACAAAUCCAAAAUAUCAACACAGAAUCUCAACACUCGAAUCAACAACAUAAACACAAAUCCGAAAUAUCAACACAGAAUCUCAACACUCGAAUCAUCAACAUACACAAAUACAAACACUUUUAUCAAAAAAACGAGAGAAAAUACCAUCGUUGCGUCUCUUGAAGACGUAACGCUCCAUCUGGUAAUUGCAAUUCUUGGUUCCAAGAUGAACCUCAGCAGCACACAUCAUCCUGACGUCAGCUUCCUUCUGAGAGAGCUGCGCUGAGCUAGCAGAUCCAUUAGUCGCCAUUUUGUUAUCUCUCUUCUUCUUCUCCGGGAACUAAUCGCCGAGGUAAGCUUUUUGCUCUGUAAAUCACACGAAGAGGCGACGAAAGGCUUAUAAGGGUGAAGGAAUAUAUAUCAGGCAAAACCCUAAUUUGAGAAAUGUCUAUUCUACCCCCGAACUCGGUUCACCAAUUUUAAUCGAAGUUAACCAAAAUUAAUCACUGGUUUAAGUUCCGGUUUUUCUUAAACCGAAAUCCAAGUGUGCACACAGAUACAAAAGAUAAUUUCUAUUUCUGCUCUACUUCGAAGUUAGAAGAACCCUAACAUAACAUAAUCUCUCUCUUUCGAUCGCAUCUUCUUCAAAAAUUUCCCACCUGUAUUUACAAGUUCAAUGUUUGUGAAUUCUCCAUUGCUCUGUUCUUAGUCGCCUUUGAUUACUCUCGCUUUCUAUCCGAUCCAAUUGUGUGAUGAUUUUCUCUUGAACAAGCUCAUAAGGUUUCAAUUUCCCUAUAUUUCUUGAAAUUCUUCUUAAAUUUCUUCAAUUCUCGGGUCUUUUUUCAUUAUUGUGUCGUUUAUUGACAGUAUCUAGACAGGUUUGAGCUUUUAUCUCUGGAGAGAAUUCAUGGGUGUCUCGUUUAAGAUUUCCAAGGUUGGUAGAAAGUUUCGGCCUAAGAUUUCUACUGAAUUGGUUACUCCUGAUUCUCCAGAACAGCUGAAUUCGAAAGCAAAGGUAAUUUUACUUAGAAUUUUAGUUGUGUUGUGUUAAACUAAAUUCACUUAUAUUGGAAAAUUAUAUAGAUGUAGAUUACCAAAUUUAUUAUGUUUGGUUCAGGCUACUGAUGAAAGCAAUGUUGGUGAUGUUUCCGGGUUUUCGAAGCCAUCUUUGCCCGAUAUAUCUCCAGGUUAGCAUCUCAACGAACCACUUUGACACAUCUUGUUUUUGCUAAAUUUUAGCUAUGUUAAAUUGAGUAAAUUUUGGUUUCUAUGCAGAUCAUGAAGUUUCCUUCAUAUUGAGCCUCUAUCCAAAUGGGUACUCUAUAGGAAAAACCUCUGAGGUAUGUAGUAGAACUUCAUGUACUGAGUUGUCUAUAAUAAUUUAUUUUUUCUUGUAUUUGAAUUUCAACCUUUCACAUCUAACAAUUUUUUUUUUUACUUACCAGGCUCUGCAACAGACAUCCUUUCGAGAUGUUCCAAAGGUCUUACAUCCGUAUGAUAGGGCAGCAGAGGGUCUACUUUCGGUAAACAUUUUGAACUAUGUUAUUAGACCUGAUUUCAACUUGUAAUUAAAGUUUUGGUGAAUGAAUUCAAAGUACUGAGAUUUAGUAUAUGUGAAAAUGAUGUUUUUUUUUUCACUUGUUCAACCCGAAUAAUGCAUUUCACUGCACUACUUGCUCGCAUUUUGUUAAAUACACUUUCCGAGUUAUCAUUCUACUGAGUAAAUGUUUUUAAUCCCUUUGUAUGCUUUAUAGGCUAUUGAGGCUGGCAGGCUUCCUGGGGAAAUUUUGGAAGAUAUACCUUGCAAAUUUGUGGAUGGGGUGGUUAUAUGUGAGGUGAGUUAUCUGCAGUUAUUUAUUGGGAUAAAGCCUUCCAUGACCUGCCAUCUAGUCAAAGUAAAAUAGUAGUCCCAAAUAGUCAUAAGCCUUUAAAAUUAGUUCUUAUCACCAUACUUCUAGUUCCUGCGUUGCCUUUCCAUAAGUUCUUGGAAACAGUCCAAAUUUAUAUAAAUAUUCAAAAAGAGCUCUAUAACUUUACUUAAAAAAAAUAUUAUCUACACUAAUCGAGAUUGAAAAAUGUCGUGAACGUGUUAUAAUUGCAUGGAAGUUUGUCUUACGAACUCAAUUGUACGUGUAUUUGAUUGUUUCUGAAACAUAAUGGAGGAAUUGGAACCAUAAGUAAACAUAAAAUAACUUAGUUAUAUUUUUUUUUUAAUUGACUGCUGCGUAUCAUCUUACAUCAUCAUGUUUUCUUUAUUUUUUGGUACAUACUAUUGUAGGUGCAUGACUAUCGGAAACACACCCCAGCUCAAGUCUCUCCUGUGAUAAAUAAAUUGCGCCUUAAGAUGUCACUUGAGAAUGUGGUAAAAGAUAUUCCAUCAAUGUCAGACAACUCAUGGACUUAUGGUGAUCUCAUGGUAAUCAUGGUAGCUCUUGGAUUAUAGGUCGUAUAUCUGAGCACUGAAACUAUUAUCUUCUGUACUGAUCCUUACAUCAACUGCAGGAAGUGGAGUCCAGGAUAUUAAAAGCCUUACAACCUGAACUCUGUCUGGAUCCUGUACCCAGACUUGAUAGGCUGAGUAAAAACCCUUUGUCUGCUAAAGUAAUAUCUCAUUAAAAAGACUCCUUGUGCUUUCUCUUCUCAGUUGUUUUUUAUAGUGUCUAAAAUGGAUUUUUUUUCCUCUACUCGAUAGCUCGAUUUGUCGCUUUCUACUUUACGGAGAAAGAGAUUAAGGCAAAUGGCAGAAGUGACAGUCAUGUCUCAGAAUAAGAUUCAUGGGAAAAAGGUUUGCAUUGAUCGGGUUCCGGAAAGUUCAGAUCGGGGAAAUAUGCCAGGGCAUUUGAUAAUGCAGCAAACCCAUAACAACCAGGCUAUUCAGAACCUUGGUACUAAUAUGCUGGUGGGAUUAAGAAGUCAGCCGUUGCAAGAUGCACCAAAUUCCUCUCUAGCCUUGGUACCACCUCAGCAACAAAGGUACCUGGGAACUGGAAAUAUAAGAAACAUGCAGGAUCAAGGAUCAAAUUCUGUCAGCGUUUCUUGCGCUUCGCCUGGUGGACUAGAUGUGAUGCUGCCUUAUGGCUCUGAUAGUAUGAACCCUGGUACAUCUUUUCAUAGAAAGAGGGAAAGUCAAGAAGGACAAAUGUCUUCUAUGCCUGGUUUGAAUAAGCGAACAAGGGUUUCACAUAUGGGUCCUGAUGGGGUUCCGCAGCAACAGUUAGGGCAACGCAUGGAUGGCCUUCAUGGAACCGAUACAAAUUGGAAAAAUACGCUUCUACAACAGCAAGACAUGCUAGGCAGAAGUAUUCAGUAUCCAAAUACAAGUACACAGAGGUUUUCACCACACCAAAUGGAAGGGGUUUUGAAUCAGGAAGGUGGUCCCAUGCAAUUUCCAGCUUCACAACAGGGGGCACCGAGAUACACUUCGAAAGAGGAGCCAUUUGAGACUGGUAAAAUUGAUGGUGGCACCAGAAACAAUAUUCCGGGGGGAAGUGACACAAAUGAUUUGGAUCCGCGUAUUCAGUCAAGGAUGCCCCAUAAUGCAUACAUUAGAUCAAAUUUCCCUCAAACAUCCUGGAAUGUUAAUCCUGGCCAGCAGAUCGAAAAAGAGCCAAAGAAAGAAGAACAAUUUAGUCGUAGGAUAUCGGCUCAAAGUCCUCGUUUGUCGGCAGGUGCUCCACCACAGUCCCCACAUUCAUCGAAGUCUGGUGAGUUUUCUGGUGGUUCAAUGGGGACCCACUAUGGAGCAGUUGCAGCAGCUCAGAAGGACAAGGCUGUUACUUCUAUACCUGCUAUUGGUGCCACUCAGUCAGUGGGUUCUAGUGCUAAUGAUGCUAUGCAGCAAAGGCAACACCAAGCCCAAAUGGCAAAACGGAGGACAAAUUCUCUUCCUAAGACGCAAGUUAUCAGCACUGUUGGUUCUCCUGUUAGUGUCAAUACUAUUAGUGUCCCAGUUAAUGCAAGGAGCCCUUCAGUGGGACCCCAAACUUUGGGCGAUCACGCAAUACUGGACAGAUUUUCAAAGAUUGAACGAGUUGCUGCUAGGUAUGAAUGUUAUGAAACCUGUUUUACUGAUUUUAUUUCCGUCAAAGUUUAUAUGUCAAAGUUUAAAGUUUCUUGUUCCAUUUUUAGGUACCAACUAAACUGCAAAAAGCAUAAGGUGGAUGAGUACUCUCGAAGACCUCGCGUGUAUGCUAAACAGUCCUUGACUGUUUGUUUAUCGAACCUGUCUAACGAAGAGGUCUUCAAAGACGAGGACAAAGCAUUAUCAAAAUCUAUUCUUGGUGGCAGUAUGAAUACAUGCAAGACUAGAGUCACAAACUUUUUUCAUAUGGAACGUGUAAUGCAAGGUCUGUUUUCUGUUAACUAGAUAUCUGGCGAUUGGUAUAUUUCUCUAUGUGAUUAAAUCUGACUCCAGUAUAUUUUCAGGUACCGUCCCUUCCUUCGUCCCUAGAAUACGAACAAAACUGGUGAUGUCAGAGAAGGCCGUCGAUGGGACCGUAGCAUGGUAUCAAGGGGACGUAGAUGAAGGGGAUGUUUCUCAGGCUGAAGAUUUUCUCUUAGCGUUGCCCAAUACAGUAAGUUAACAGGAAAUUUGAUAGUUAUCAAUCUCCCCUGCAUUCAAUGUUAUGUUGACUUUACAUUCAGUGAUGUUUAUAGGUUGUCGGGUCUUGUUCUUGGGGUUUAUGUCUCUCUUGUGAAUGUUUUGUGUAAUUAUGAAUAUGGUUGGUUGUUCUAUGGAUACUUCUCUCUUGUUAGUUGCUUAUGCUCGUUUAUCCUUCUCGUCCAAUGUGAUCGAAAGGGGAUGGACAAUGGAUGAUUAAUUUUUCUCUUAUAUAUGCCACUUAUUUUCUGGAAGCUAUGCUGACUUGCUUAUUCCUCACUUUGUCACAGCACAUUGCCGAUCUACUUGCUAAUCAAUUUAAAUCACUGGUAUUUCUCGAGUUCUGAAUCGAUUAUAUCAUGUUCCUGGUUCUAUGGUAAAGCUACUUACAGAUUGAUUUAUAUGCUUAUGCAGAUGACCCGUGAAGGAUACAUGAUCGAAGAACAUAUUCUGGCAAAGCCAAACCGUGGGGAUACUGGCCCAAUCAGCAACCAACCAAAUUCUGCAGGUGGUUAUCCAAGAGGUUACUCUGCAAACGAUAUGCAACAGUAUGGAGAUGCAGUUGCAGGGCAAGCGUCUGGCGAGGCAUCAAAACAGGGGAAUACUGGAAAUGUGCCUAAUACCUCAACCCAGAAUAUUCUUGCAAAUGCAAGGAUGCUUCCUCCAGCAAAUUCUCAAGCCUUGCAAUUGUCUCAAGGACUGCUGUCUGGUGUCUCCAUGCCUAUGCAACCACAACAGCCUGACCCACAACAGUCAGCGCUACUGUCAUCACAUUCACAGCAGAAAAAUCAACAGUCCAUGUUUACACAGCAACAGCAUCCACAAAUGCAGAGACCAUCCAUGAUACUGCCUACAAAUCCACUAUCAGCCAUCAACUCGAUUGGCCAGAGCUCUGGUAUGCAGCCGGGUGGUCAGAUGGCCAACAAGUAUUCGCCUCUUCAACUGCAGAUGUUACAGCAGCAGCAGCAGGCGGCAAUGCAGAAGAAGAUAAUGAUGGGGCUAGGAUCAGGUGUAGGCAUGGGUAUGGGUAUGGGCAUGGGCAUGGGUAUGGGGAGCAUGGGAAAUAGUAUUGCUGGGCUUGGAGCUUUAGGCAACCAAUUGAAUAUGGCAGGAAGAGGGAUUGGGGGAACCGGAAUCUCAUCAUCAAUGUCUGUUCCUGGCAUCGGUAAUAUGGGCCAGAACCCAAUGAAUCUGAAUCCAGCAUCAAAUUUGAAUGCUAUAAGCCAGCAACUCCGAUCCGGUGCGUUAACACCCCAACAAAACGCUCUGUUUACACAGAUUAGGAUGGGCAUGGCAAACCGAGGAGGUGUAAUGGGUGCUCCUCAAGCCGGGAUAAGUGGCGUGUCAGGUACGAGGCAGAUGCACCCCAGCUCAGCUGGUAUAUCCAUGUUGGAUCAGAAUUCAUUAAACCGAGCUAACCUGCAGCGAGCUGCUGCUAUGGGUAACAUGGGCCCACCUAAGCUGAUGCCUGGAAUGAAUCUCUACAUGAAUCAACAGCAGCAGCAGCAACAACAACUCCAGCAGCAACCCCAACAACAACAGUUGCAGCAUCAGCAACAGUUACAGCAGCCUAUGUCUCAGCCAUCUCAGCAGCUAGCUCAGUCUCCGCAGCAGCAGCAGCAGCAGCAGCUACAACAUGAACAGCCUCAACAAACACAGCAGCAGGCAACAGCAUCCCCUCUUCAGUCUGUGCUAUCACCAGCCCAAGUAGGUUCGCCAUCAGCUGGAAUUACCCAGCAGCAGCUACAACAGUCCAGUCCCCAGCAAAUGAGUCAGAGAACUCCAAUGAGUCCCCAGCAAAUGAACCAAAGAACUCCUAUGAGUCCUCAGAUAAGCUCGGGUACAAUGCAUCCCAUGAGCACAAGCAACCUCGAGGGUUGUCCAGCGAGUCCACAGCUUAGUUCUCAGACAAUGGGAUCUGUUGGUAGCAUCACCAAUUCUCCAAUGGAGCUUCAAGGUCCCAAAAACAACUCUGCUGGUAAUAAUUCCUGAUCAAGAACACUAUAAUUAUGGGUAACAUUAUUUAUAUUCAGGAACCCUUUGCUUCACAACAUGAGUUGUUAUCUAAUUAGGGACAAGCAGAGAAAGAGUUUUUAGUUCACCGUCUUACGUUUUGCUUGUACAUUAGGCUUUUGAAAUUUAAUAUAGAUUCAUGACCAAAGCCUGUAAAUGAAAAAGUUAAGAAUCUGUUGUGCUCUGCAAGUGAAAGUGCCAUUAUUAUUAGGUUGUUGAUAUGUAACCACUGUCUGCUUCAGACUAUUUGGAAGUUUUUGUUUAAGCUUAAUAAUUAAUCUGUUUUGUUCAAUUGUUGUGCUUUGCCACUGCUACCCUUGUAAAGAUAAGAAGUAACUUUUGAUUUGUACACUACAGUUUCAGCUAUGAUUUGUUGGGAAAAAAAAAAAAAAAAAAUUUCGUUGCACAACCAGAUGCUCUUGAAUAUGUGAAUUUGCAUCAAUAUAGAAGAAUAUGUGAAUGUGAGAAGGCCAGAAACACAUGCGAUUUUCAAAACUGGCAAAAUAACAAUGUAGUUACAAAAAUCGUGUUCACUAAACAAAAUGUACACACAACAUCGAAGAAGUUACCAACCAGUUCGUCGGGAAAAAGACCCGUCUUUGAAAUCUGCGAUAUGAUACCAAAAAUCUUGUACAGAUUUUGGAAACAUCAAAAGAAUCUGUCUCUUUUCUCUCUUUACCCACGCAACUCAAUCCUCAUCCAAGUGUCGCUGCCUUCGAAUCAUUUCCUUUGCCACGGAAUGUGGAGAGCGAGAAGAACGACUUUUGCGCUGGAAAGGAAGAAACAAUAGGAUUCAUUUAAGGGAAUAACGAAUGGAGAAAUCUUGCAUUCUGUAUGAGUGAAUAUGCAAGAAAAGAAAAAACAAGUUUUGACCUUUGAAGUUGCUUCCAGACAUUUGAUGAUCAUCUUUCAGCUCAGGUAUAGAGAUGUUAGAAGCUUGAAGAAGAAAGACAAGAACAACUAAAUAUGUAAAGAGCUCGUGAUAGCAUUAAACAUAGGAGAGGGAAGAAAGCAAUAUUAUUUUACCUUGUUCAGGGAAUUCGCUCUCAUUAAAUCCAUCCUCAGAGAGAUGACUCUGUAGAGAUCCCAUUCUCGACUUUCUUAAAUCCUCUGAUGAUCGAUCCGCAAAGUCUCUCCUAUCUUCAACCUCAUCAUCUCCUUCCGAAGUCGUUACAGAUACCCAAUCCAUCAUCAAGCUUUCUGCUCCGCGGCUUUUUCUUCCAAACUUUAGCAACCGUUUAAACCCUUUACUUAAAUCCUUCUUUGACUGGAACUGAGACGUAUUAUUAGCAGCAGCAACGGUAACAGGACUCUGAGCCGUUCCCCAUUUCUUUCUCAUCCGAGAACUCCAAGAAGCAGGGCUUCCCAUGGGAGAAUCCACAGAAGCAUCAACAUCAGACGAGUUCUCAUGAGGAUAGCUGAAUGAGUGUUGCAGGUUUGUGUUCCAAGAAAGAGGACUUUCCCCAGGUGAGUCCAUUAACGAGGCAAGCAAUGUCGUAGGCACAGUAGCGGGUAAAAAACUACAAUUCUCUUCUCCUGAAUGAUCAACUUUCUCGUAUGCUUCGCUUAGUGUUGGAUUCCCAUCCUCAAACACCAAUGUUUCCAGUUCUUCCACUUCUUCUUCUUCGUCUUCUCUAACAGCAUUCUCCAAGACUUCUUCUGCAUCAGCUUCAGGUUCAUCAUAUUCUUCAUUUCUCAGAUUGUCAGAUAUAUCAGAGUCCACUCUUAGAGGGGCCAUCAUAUCAUCAGAGCAGAGAGUGGACAGUUCCGUAAAAUCUAUGUUCCCAGAGGAGCUUUUCCUUAAUGAUCGAGGUCUUUGGAGAAGUGUAUCUUCCUUGGUAUUCUUGGUGCGACCACUACUUCUCACCUGUGAUCGCAUAGUAGUUUUGACAGCUAAAGAAGAUGGUUUCGUGUUUUCUUUUAUAAGUUCAGAAAAAUUUGGAACAGAUUGUGCAAGCGACUUGUCUGAUCUUCGCCUCCCAGAAGAGGUGUUUGAAACUUUACCUGAUGGUUUCGGAACCGAUGCUGCGGUUCGCGGGGUGAUAAAAGAAGGCAUGUUCCUGUUGGGCUGAAGCUUUCUAGCUUGGGAAAUCCGAGAAGCAAUGUUGCCAACUAAUUGCGGUUGGCCACUGGCUGCUUUAUCUUUUGCCCGAGGUUUCUGUUCAGAGCAAUCUUCAUCUUCUUCGCUCUGGAAUGAGUUUAUAGGAUGCUGCCAAUAAGACAGUAUCAUCAAUAACAAGUCUUCACAAUUUGGAAACGGAGGAAGAACAUUUCUAAUGGACCUAAGAACAUUUCUAAUGGACCUAAUGCUAAGUUACCUGGUACUUUUUCAUACUUGACCGAGAGUUAAAAGACCUAAAUUUCUCUGCACGCUGACGAGUACUUGAAAGCAAAUCUCUUCUCUCAGAAGAUGUAGCAGAGAGCUUAGCUUUCAUCUCGGUCCUACUUUGCUCAAGAGCCUCUUGCAUCGACUUCAGUUUUGUUUCCUUCUCACCUUUUUUCAAACUCCAUUCUUCUCUCAGUUUGGCAUCCCUUUUCUUCAUAUACGUCUCGUAAAACUUUCCUUUAGAAUCAUCUGUAAGACUAAGGUCCGAUAAAUUCCGUCGCAGUGCAUCCUCUUUGUCUUUUUCACAAACCAAGGGAGUCAUAAGCUUUGAGAGAUCAGCAGAACCGCCACCAAGAGAAAGCCUUUUUUCUGCAGCCACUAUAGAAAGAGAUGGUUCUGGGUGUGCAACUUGGGUUUCACUUGGCUUACCACGUCUGGAAGAACUUGAUUGAUCUCCUGGAACCCGGAGUUUAUGCUCAGCAAAAAGUUUUUCAAGCUCAUUUGCCUUCAUUUUCAACUCAUCAUUAGCCCCCGGAUUUUCCUUUAACAGUCUUGUCCUCUGUAUUUGAUCCACCGAUGCAGUGGGAAACCUAUUACUGUUAGCUCUAACCUGCCUGCCCUCCUCAUCGUCAGGACCAUCCCUCACAUUAAAAUGUGGUUUAUGAGAUAACACUGGUUGUUCGUCUGAUGGAACCACUUCUUUCUUCUUGAUCCUGCCAAAAGAAUAUCUAGACUGCGGUUGAGAAGCCAAAUCCUCCUUAAAACUAGCUUCUAUAUGGGCUGACCGAGAUCGUGUAUGUCGAGAAGGAAACAUGGCUGAUGAUUGUGAUACAUUGUUGGCUUUGAGUUCAUAACCCUCCUCUCUCUGUCUGGAUUUAGCAUCACUCAUGACAUUCCGUAGCCUAUCGACAUGACUAUCAGUCUGGUUUUGUGAAGCAGAAGAGUCAUUCGAACCAAUGACUGAUCUGGACUGAGCAUCAGAAGUUGCUUCAACUCCUGAAACCAAACUCUUUUCAGUGACAGUUUUGGAACUCUCGACUCUAUCUCGAGAAGCUUCUUCACCACCAACUUUUUCGGAGUCACUCUUCAGCUCAUAUUUGACCUCAUCGCCUUUUUUAACGCUUUCAUUGAAAUCAGUUAAAGAUAUGGUAUGAGGAACAGACAAAGAAGUCGAAGAGGGAUCCCCCAGGAAACUCUCCAACUUCUUUUCCGAUGCCAAAUCAGUGCUCAUGUCACUCACAAUACUGCUUCUUCUCAGGAUAGGUUUCUCAGAGGAAGAAACAUCCGAGGAGAGUCUCCUCAACUCGGUGGAUUUAGUAACAGAUACAGGUUUGCUUCCCCCAGAGGGUGAGUUUUCCUUCUGUUUGUUUUCAAAGAGGUUAAUUCUAUCCUGCACACUGAGUCGUCUUGUGUGUUGGCUGCUCUUAACUGUAGAAGAGGUUACAUCCAAACUCUCGUCACUUUUUUCCUCUUCAUUCCUUUUGGUGGUACUUGUCGUAGCACACUGUUGAAUUUGAUGUUCUGAUUCGUUUACCACAUUUUGCUUCUGGCGCGUGCUAUCUUUUUGGAGGCUGACAUUGUCAACACUAGCCAAGUGAUUCGAGAACUUCAUGUCAAUCAAGUCUGGCCUUUUCUUCCAUAGUGAGAUAUAUUUACUGCAUACUUCACUGAGAGAAACAUUCAAAUUCGAUCAAAUAACAAAACAUGAAAGAAAGGUUUAGUCAAAUGAAAAAUAAUAAAAAACAGUAAAAGGCUUACUCCAAAUGAUGUGCACCAAAUCUUUCAGCAAAUUGUUGGAGUUCGGAAAGAGUAUGAGGAUCGAAACCGCUAGCUGAUGCAUGAGAAAUGGACGUUGUUAAGUCCUUUAUAAUAGCUUCAAGUCUUAAGUCUAUAGCCCUUAAGAGCUCCUUCCUGAAAAUAGAGAAGAAAAAGUAAUCAAUAAAAACUUUAUAUACAUGCACAACAAACAUAAAGGCAGAAUAGCUUUACUUUGUGGCAUCUGCUGCAGCUCCAUCAUCUGAAACGGAAUGAAAUAGGAUUCAAAUUGAUGUUCAAGAUCAGUAUUCCCCGGAACGAAAAAAAGAUACGAGCAAUGUAACAACAGUAAAAUCAAACACACCUAAUGCACCAAACUUUGAGUCUUCGCUCCGCUUUAAGAACCAAAAAAAAAAAAAGACAACAGAAAUUUAGGAAAGAUCGGUCAAGAAUCACAACAGAAGUCAAGUUUCAAAAAUAGUGCUUUCAACCUGCGAAUAUAAUGUCCGAGCUGCUUCCAACUGCAACAUCUCUGAAUAAUAUGUAUUGACCUUUUCUAGAGUUUCUGGACUACUAACAAACUGAACAAAUCUGAAAGAUAAAUGGUGGAAGAAACUAUUACUAUAUCGAAAAAAGGCUGUGCGCAAAGAAACAAAAAUGAUAUUGAAUUUUCUGUAAUAAACCUCUCUAAUGUUCUUUUAGUAAACCAAGUGUUGCUUUUCUCCACCUCCAAUCUAAUAGAGGAUUGAGCAACAGGCGAAUAUUGUGCUUCAAGAACUUUCAAAUGAUUCACAAAGGGUUGGAUCAACCCCGAAGCUAGCUUCUCUGUCUGUUCAUUGCUUGAUACAAACAGUUCACAUCUGUCAAAAGAAAAACACGCUUCUUUAUACAGAACAAACUAGAAAUCAGGAUAUCUUGAAGUGGAACAUAUACUAACCUUGAAUGCUUUGGCGACAAUUCGAAUAUUGCAUAGUCAAGAACCGUAUCUGACCUCAUUCUCACAAGACCAGAUUGCUAACCAACCAGCAGAAAUAUCACUGAGAGUAACAGAAUCCAACUGAAAAAAACUCAAAUUUAUGCCAAGAAACCUGAGGAGACAAUAAUAGAAACUGUUACUCAGAGAUUAAAAAAGCCAACUUGCUAACAAUCUUGAAAGCAAAAGACUAAUGAAACUUUAAUCGGAAACAAAGAAUCCCGGAAAUGGAAAAGGUAGACAAAAACAGGUCAUGAACAAUAAAAAUCGCCAGACAUAGAAAUCGAGGAUCUAAUCAUCAGAACCAGAUGCUUCUCAGAUCUGUCUGAUUCCACUACUAAAGUAAAGACCCAACCUUAAAAAUCCAAACUUUAAUAUAUCCAAUGAAACAAAAUAUCCACAGCUCAAAACUCAAAAUCAUGCAAAAUCCACAAAGAACAUACCAAGAUCCUCCUCUUGCCGAUCCAGCAUUGAGCUGGGAACUUUCCGAUUCUUAUCUUAAUCCAAGUUCUAAAUUGCCACUAGAAGUAGAGGUUCAGAGAGAGAGAGAGAGUGAAAAAAGAAGACGAAACCCUAACAAUGUCAGAGUUAAUGUCGUCACUUCACUACUGGUUUUGCUCAAAAUGCAAAAUCUUUCUUUCUUUCUUUCUCCCACCUAAGAAGAUUUAGCUCUGUCCCUUUAUAUCCACCACGCUCGAAACCAACACACGCACACUUUCUCUCUCUCUCUCUCUAUCUACGUAGUCAAAAAGACAGAGUCUUUAGAGAGAGAGAAUAUGCGAAGAGUUGUCAAGAGAGAGAGAGAGAGAGAGAGUUUCCUUAUUCAGACAACUUCUUUUCCGACGAAUGUCGUCUUCGAUUAGGAAAUUAAUCCAAGGCUACGCCGCGAGAGUCAACAAAAAAAAAAAACAAAGAUACAGUCCUCAGUACGGAGUUUACCAAAAUACCCUCAAAAUAUCCUCAGGGCAAUAAAGUCGUUUAAAACUUUUCUAUAAAGCCUCUGAGGAUGAGGGCAAUAUCGUAACUAAAUAUUGUUCGAAGUCUAGGCUCUACCAAAAUAACAAAUACACAUCAAUUUAAAACUUGCAAUAAACGUUAUAAAAUUAGUACAGUUUAUUUUAUUUUAUGGUUAAAUAUUCUUAAAUUUAUUGGUCAUGCAAAGAAAAAAAUUACAUCCAAAAACUAAAGAUUUUAAAAAAAAAAAAGUUUUAAAACAGAAUCUCAAAUUUUAAAAAAAAAAAAAACAUGACGGACUAUAAUUUGACAUCUUCUUCCUUUAAAAUCAAACCACUCUAGAAGAAGGUUUUAGAGCCGCAGUGUUUUAUGAUAAUGAAGGAAGAUUAUAUUAUAGUAGUAUAUGGUUCUGAAAAGUAUUGUUGAUCAAUUUUGGGGUGAAAAUUGCAAAUGGCAAUUCUUACAGUAACAUAAUUGCUGGCAAUUGUAUUUUUCACCAAUCAAACAACCCUAACAUUCUAAUGUAGCAUUAAUUUUCAUUAAAUGUUCUUAAAUGUAUAUGAAAUAUUGUACCUAAUCUCAUUUAUUAUCUGAUUAGUUUUGCAACGAACCAAUGUUUGGAUGUUUUUGGGUUGCCAACAAUUCCACAUGGCCACGUCAUCUGUUUGUUACGAUAUUCUUUUGGUGUUGUUUUAAUCAGAGUAAUCAGAUCAACAUCUAUAUGACACUGAUUCCGUACGAUUCGAACCGGUAACUCAGCAUUUAGCCAGCCAAUUUGACAUUGAGCAAUAAGAAGCAAGAUAAAGAUUAAUGGGCCUUAAAGGCCCACUUUAGAUUGGACUUAUUAGACCUUCCACCCUCAAUUUAGCCCAUACUUUUGUUACUUUGUUUUUUCUUUUCGGUCGCACACAAAACAAAAAAUGUUCAAUAGAAGACAGUAAUUUUUUCCUGAGUAUAUAUGUGUAUCAGCAUGUUAGGAAUCACUAGUUCCCAGCAUAUAUAUAAUGCUUUAGUAAUUUAAGAAAAAAUAUGAAUAAAAAAAAUUAUAAAUGUUCGAAAUUGAUUAUCAUAAUUUAUACAGAAAAUAUGUUUGGUUUAAUUACAAAAUUAUAUUAAAAAUGAGCGACGUUUUUACAAGUCGGAGAAAAUAAAAAAAGCAAUGGACCAGAUUCGUUGUAAAGGCCACUAAAUAUGAUCAACUUGCUGAUAAAAACACAUUUAUUUCUUUUUCAUCCAACUUGUAACUUUGUUUACCAUAUAAAGUUAUAGUAGUGGAUAACAUGAUUUUUUUUUGUAUAGAUCAACAAUUUUUUGUUCUAUGUACAAUAUUAUUUUUAGUCAAAUGAAAUAUAUAAAAACGAAGGGAAGAAGAGUCUCGCAGUCGCAGGUCUGAGAAAAUAGUGGAGAUUUGGAAUUUACGAAAAAUAAAAAUAUGACAACUUAUGAGUAACUUUUGUUUCUCGGUCCUACUUCCCAAACGCUUCCAAAAUAUCCUCCCAUUCCUCACGGCGAAGAAAGAUAUGGGUGUGACUGGGAGUAAUUAGAAGAAAAAGGAAGAAAUGAAAUGAGAAGAAUUCAAAAGAAAAGAAAAAUCAAAGUUGGAAGAAAAAAUUCUUUCAUGUAUUUACAGAAUGAAUCUUUUCAUUUGCUUCUAUUAAAAGUAGAGGAAUUGAGAAGAUUUUAGUGAACAAUAAAUUUUUUUUGACUGGUUAAAAUGUAGAUUAAUUGAGAAUAUUUUUAUUUCUUCUCAUUUAUUUUCCACUAACUAAGCUAACCAGUCACACCCAUACUAAUUCCAAUUUCUGUAAAACUGAAUCAAAUACGAGAAUUCAUGGAGUUUCAUGAUUCAUCAUAUCAAAUAUAAUUAUUAAAUUUUUUUAUUCGUUCAGAUACAAUAUUAAUAUUCUAACUUUAUACGAAUACUCUACUUUUAGUGUGCAUUAAUGUACUUUAACAAGGGAAAAAACAAAAUUGUGCAUAACUCAAAAAGGAUAUUGAAACGACGACCUAAAGGUUUGAUACAAAUCAAACAUAUGAAGUUCCAUAAAAAUGUAUACAAAAUUACACAUACCAUAUUUUUCUAGCACCACGACAACGGAAAUAAAACAUAUGAAGAUCCAUAAAAAAUGUAAUGUUAACUUCGUCAUGCUCUACUUCUUAGAUCUUCUAUUGCCAACUUGGAAUCUCGUCGAUGGACCACCUACCUUUAUUAAAACAUCAAUGGUCAACAUCGGUUUCAUGAUAAGGCUGAAAUAAAUUCUACAACAUACAUUUUCAUUUCAAAAGUUUCUUUUUGUAAUAUACAUAAACAUAAAGAAAUAUAAGGGAAAAAAAUUAAAAAUCAAUCAGAAAGACUAUAAACUACCUUACUAGAACUUAUACAACAACAGUUGUCAUGAGCGUUAAUUUUGUUCGGAAUAUCAUUUGAUAAAUCAUCCCGAUGCACCGACGUGCCCUUAACCGGCGAAUACGAACGAGUUUUGAAUUGAUUCACAUCAUCCUUCAAUAAUUCUUCAAACAACUCUUCAAAUUCCUCUAAACUUUCAUCACCCUGCUUCAAAAUAUGCAAUUACCAUAGCCAUUAGCAUAAUAAUCAUAAUAGUAAUGCGUAGUUUGGUACCAAUAACUAGUAAUUGUACAAAAGUAGUUUGCUACCGUAGAUUGAGUUUGAGCCAUCAGCGUCACCAUCUCAUUUAUGAAAUCAGCCAUUCCCUAAAACGCAAUAAGUUGACAUUGAUUUAGACAUAUCGGUAAUUAAAUAAUCAACAUUUCUGACUCAUGUAAAAGAGAAAUAUCUACAAAAACCUACAGUUUCGUCGUCAUCACUAUCAUAAGCACCGACGUCAUACAACAGCCUCUUGUUGGAAUCCGACAAAACUGUUGUGAACACAAAUUGACUAUUAAACCGGAACAGACCAAUACAACAUUUGGAUCCGGUUUAGAAGAAAACCGGGAGAAUUUUACCAGAAUAAGCUCGUUGAAUGGACUGAAAUUUCAUCUUGGCUUCAUCUUUCUCAAUAUCUUCAAGAAACCGAUCUGGAUGCCAUUUCUACACCAACAAACAUACAAAAAACUAUUCAAGAAAAAAGAAUCGGAUCGCAUUCAGACAAAAAAAAAGAUAGAGAAAAGAUGUGAAAACCAAACCAGAACAAGGUUCUUGUAAGAAAGUUUGAGAUCUCUUUGCGUACAUUCAUUGUUCAAAUCCAUAACAGCGUACAAGUCUUCCUUCUCCAUUGAUGAUGAUGAUGAUGAUGAUAUAAGAAUGAGAAAAAGCAAGAGCACUUCUUUGGAGUUUAUUGGAAGCAAAGAGAUAAAGAAAGAUCGAGAUUAAUGAAUGUAUAGAUGUGUGGAUACGCGUAAACGUGGAAGAAGAGAAGAGAAGGUUAAAGAAGAAGAGUUUGAUAUUUUGGGUAUCGUGCUUUUGUGUUGUAUAAUACUACUAUUUAUAUAUGAGAUUAGGGGUAGGGUAACAAAGAAUGAUCGAGAAACUCGCCACUUGAACUAGUUGUUUAAUUAUGUUUAUCCUCCUUUUAGACAACAUCUUUUAAAACUAAAAGUAGUGUAUUAUUUUAUUACUUUUUUCCUAGUUUGUGAAUUGUGUGAGUAUACGCAACCAAUUUUGAACAAGGCUACAUCUCUUUUUCUUUUCUUUUUUAAAUUGUUUUAGCUUUUAAGAAUAAAAGAUUAAGCUAAUUUUUUUUAAAAAAUACGAAAACAUUACUACGUGUUUUUUUUUUUCUUACCGAGUGAAAAUAAUAAUUCGUGAACGGUAGGUAAUAUUUUGGUAAGAUCAACAGCGUGAAUUCGUUGUAAUUUUGGCUUUGAUUUUAUUAAUGUGUAAAUUAGAUUACUUGUGGAUCAUUUGGUCAAGUUUUAUGUAGAUUACAAAAUGUUUUUGUUAACAAAUCUUUUAGUCAGUGUAACAAAAUCCGAGUACUCAUGUUAGAUAAAAAUAAAAAUUAUAAUCAAGAUUGGCACAAAAAAAAGAAAUUAAAUAUUUGAGCGACGACUCUAGAACAUCGAAAUUAUUUUGUAAUAAUCUGAAUGCAUUCUUCUUGUUUUGACGGCAUAUACAACGUUGAGGAAUUUACAUAUUUUUCAUAUAUGCUUCUACCUACUCCUGCUAAAAUUCAAAUAAAGGAUUUGUAUAAUGAAACUUAAUUAAGGUCAAAUAUCUUGAAAACUUUUUUUGUUCAAAAGCAUAAAACUUGUAUUGUUACCUUUUCAAUAAUUAAAUAAUUUUACUUUAUGGUCACUUUAAGGUAAAUAAAAUUGAGCAACUUGCAAUUCUGGCCCAUUUUUCUUUUCUAUUAAAACCAAUCAACUUGCUUUAAGUCAAUUCAUAAACGUUUUUGUUCAUCAACUUGGAUCCGGUUAACCCAAAUCCUGGUUUUACAAAUAAACCAGACAACAACAAUCUUUAUAUGGUUCUCAAAUUGUUCAUCAGAAAGCUUUUUCAUCAUCAUUCAUGGCAUUCUCACUGCUUUGACCCAGUCGAUUUCGACUAGGAAAUCGCCUGCGCCUGAUUUAGCUCCAAUGAAACCACCUCCUUGUGCGUUAACAGAUAGAGACAUACCAACAACACGACCUGGAUUCAUCUCCAUAUCUGCAUCUAUCACAUUUCCUUUCCAUGUUGGUAAGUAGCGAGUAAGAGGAACCUGAAGAAGAAAAAUGUCACACUUGGGUUACAACAAAAACCCUUUUAACACUAGUUGCUUUGUAGAAGAAGUAUGAGACUUGCCUUAGCUGUAUACCAGUUUCCCUUUGGAGCAAAAACAAAAGCUUGCCAUGAGUUAUCUUCUGCUUGUCCUGGCGAGUUCAUCCAGUUCUCGGUAUAUAUCUGAAUUGGAAUCGCAGUUAAGUUUUUUAGAAAAAAUAGUUGUGCUCCUUGAACCUUGUGUUUCAUCUGGAGCAAAAAGACAUGAAUGUUGAGCAUGAGACUCACAGUAGAGAUAUAGCACCUUCCAUCUCCUCUGAGCCUCAGGGCUAUGGAAUCAUACCCUUCGAGAUCAAUAAAGCCAUCAAACUACAAUAAUGGGAAGGGAUUUUAGUUAAGUAAGUUGUGCUAAACUCAUUCGAAUCAUUGGUUUUGAUUGAUGAUGUGAUGAUUAGUAAGAAAAAAAGGGAAACCUAUGUUUUUAACCUUCUUUGACCGCAUUCCACAGAAACCACUACGAUUGAUAUUCCAUUUUGAACCUUCGCUCAUAUCCGUAGAGAGGUUCCCAGAGAAAACACCUAGAAGGAGACAUAAAGUGAAAAAAUGGUCACCACCCAAUUGCAGAAAAAAAAAACAUGAUGAGAGGUAAAUGGUAUGAGAAGCAAGAAACUUCAUACUUUCACCUGAGGCUCGAUGAAGAGCUUUAACGGCUAAACCAGAAAAAUUGUAAUUCAAGAUUUUUUAAGAGAAAUCAUUUUUUCGGGUUUGAGCAUGCUCGAUAACGUUUCUAUGCCUCUAGAUAUGAGCAAAUCAUCACAGUAUGUACAAGUCUAAGAAGCAUUCCAAUCCUUAUUCGAAAAUCCGGCUAGCACAAACUAGUUGUAUUGUAUCAGACCCAAGCGAAAAAGCAACAGAAGGAAAAAGCGAGGCACACAUGUUCGGUGUUCCACAAUAUACUUACCAAUACAAUCUGAUCCAUUUCCUCCAUCUUUAAUUUCCAAUGAAGCCGAAGAUAAUCCUACAAAGUAAAAUAUUCACAUGAUAAUGAGCAGAUCACAUGAAGAAUUGUUAUACACUGCAUAUCAGAAAUAUACGUUCAUCUCAGUAAUUGUUAAUAUGAAUCAACAAGGAAUGAAAGUAUAAGAAACUAUCAAAACAGGCAAAUAGGUUGUGUAACAUGAUUAUGAGCAGAUGCCUGAACCCGUGUGCUUUUAAGUACCUCCAUAUUCAGAAUCAGAGUACAGGUGCCAUGUUUUGAGAUCUUCUUUUGAAUUGAACUUGAAUAUACGCUUCUCUACAGGGGGUACCCAUUCUUCGAGUUCCCACGUAAGAGCUACAGUAUGUACAUUGUGAAAAUAUGUUAGAGGCUAGCUAAAAGGAUGCAAGGUAAGAAAAAAGACUAGUCUUGAUAAAAAAUCUUUACUUUCCAAUCAAAGGCACUUGAUUAUUGCAAACAAGAAUAAGUAUAUAAAGUAUUGUCAACUUUUAUAUGCAGACCUAUAGCAAGAAAUUCAUUAAGUACAAGAAAGUGUUGAACAUAGUAAUUAUUGAAGAAAAUGGAAAAAAAUACCCUUCUUUGUUGCAUUCACCGAGGCUUGCCACAAUGAUCUAAAGCGUGACAUAGUUGUAAGUUGCUGGCACAUUCCCAAAUGAAAAUGGAGAAUACAUUAAUUACCCAAUUGAUUGAUAACAAGUGGUUGCAAAAUAGAAAUGAAAGAUCAUCUCUUUGGAAACUCUAGCACAACGCAUAACCCAUUGAAGAGAGGUAAGCAAAUUUACUGCAGCCCAAUUCGGAGCUGAACAUUUUCCCAUUGAGGCAUUUCAACAAACACUUGAAAGACAAGAAUUGAUAAAAUCACAUCGACCCACAGACCAAAACAAAACAAAAAGGACCAAUGACCAAACAAGAAUAUUAUUCUUGAGAAGCCAAAGGAAAUUGCACAAACAAAAACAAGAAAAAUCAAAUCGUCAAGACAAAGGAUUAGUUUUGGUUUCACCUGAGCUUUCAUAUAGUCCCGUCUUUCUCUGCUCAGCAUAGAGUGUUUGGGACUAAGUUAUACCAAACGUUGUCGUUUCAUAACUCCCAUCUCCUUGCGCGGCCCACAAAGGCCCAAUCUAAUUAUAAUAUAUCUUCUUCUUCAUUACAUUUCUGAACAAGACAGAAGUAGAAGAAGAAGUCCCAUGAAGUUUGCUGAAAAGACACACCGAGUGACUUGUCAAUCAUUAGCGUGUCGGAAUCAAUUAACAAGCUUUGAUUUAACUUAACAAAGAAACUUCUCCUCUUUGAUUAUAAUGAUUACAACUUCGUCGUACUUAACUUAAUUAGUUUUGGUCUAACUAAAUACUUAUCUCUAAUAAUUAUUUCGUGCGUCCUUUUCGUCACCACCUAGGAAAAUUAAUGUCGUCCCUUUAUUUUAUCUACCGACUACCAGUUAAUGUUAUAAAUGUAUAAUGCACAUAAAGUGUUGGUAAGCAAUCCCAAUUAGUACAAAUUUAUUGUUGGAGUAAGCUUGAAGUUAACUUAAACCGGAAGUUUUUAGAAGACCAAAACCGAGUUAUGGUUUGUUAGAGAUAAAGAUCAAAUAUUAGGAGUUAUCUAAUAUUUGAUGUAAUCCUAGUGAGAUUAGGAUUAAGAGAGUCUUAUAAAUAGAGGGUUGAGUUAUGACCUAAACAUAUGAGUUUUGAGAGUUUUGGUUUUGAGAGAGAUUAAGAGAGUUUGAGUUUUAAAUUAUUUUCUUAAACUAAUAAAGUGAGUUAUACUUUAAAUCUUGUUGAUCUUAAAACCUUAAAUUUCGUUCUACACUUGGUAUCAGAGCAAAUUCAAGGAUCCGUGAGACAUAUCCCGUGAGAAACCAUGGGAGAAAUCACGGAAGCUUCAAAAACGGCUUUAGCGAAGGUGAUUGACGGAGGAGGAGCUUCAUCCAUCAAGUGUCCCAUGCUAACUUCAACAAAUUACACUGUCUGGGCUAUGAGGAUGAGAAUUCUGCUUCGAGUUCAUAAAGUAUGGAAGAUCAUAGAAGAGUCAUCAGAGGACGAAGAGAAGAAUGACAUGGCCAUGGCUCUGUUAUUCCAAUCAAUCCCUGAAUCUCUUGUUUUGCAGAUUGGAAAAUUGGAUACAACUAAGAAGGUAUGGGAGUCCAUAAAAUCGAAACAUCUAGGUGCUGAAAGAGUCAAAGAAGCGAGGCUACAAACAUUGAUGGCAGAGUUUGAUCGCUUGACAAUGAAGGAUACUGAAACAAUUGAUGAAUUUGCAGGCAGGUUGUCUGAGAUUUCUUCAAAGUCAGCAUCAUUAGGAGAAAACAUUGAAGAGACCAAACUUGUCAAGAAAUUUCUCAAGUGCCUACCUCGUAAAAGAUACAUCCACAUUGUAGAUUCACUUGAGCAAGUAUUAGACCUCAAAAAAACAAGCUUUGAAGAAAUUACGGGACGAAUCAAAGUUUAUGAGGAACGCACCGCAGAAGAAGAAGAGACUCAUGAUGACCAAGGCAAGCUGAUGUAUACUAAUAUGGAAUCUCAACCUAGUCGUGAAUACGGAGGAGAAUAUAGAGGCAGAGGUCGUGGAGGACGCUUCUAUAACAGAGGAAGAGGACGAGGACGGUACAACGGAGGCAGAGACAUCUCAAAAGUUACUUGUUACCGGUGUGACAAACAAGGUCACUUUGCUUCUGAUUGUCCGGAUCGACUACUCAAGCUACAAGAAGCACAAGAACAAGACACGAAAAGUACAGUGGAGGCAGAUGAGCUGAUGUUACACGAAGUGGUUUAUUUGAAUGAAGAGAAAGUUGUUCCAAGCAAGUAUGAGACGAACUCCGGUAAAGAUAAUAUUUGGUACCUUGAUAAUGGAGCUAGCAAUCACAUGACUGGUGAUCAACGUUAUUUCUCAAGCUUGGAUCGAAGCAUUUCUGGAAAAGUGGGUUCGGAGACGACUCAAAAAUAGAUAUCAAGGGGAAAGGUUCCAUUGAAUUCAUUGAUAGGAACGGUGAACUGCGAAAACUGAUUGAUGUUUACUUUAUCCCCGAUUUAAAAAGUAACAUUAUCAGUCUAGGUCAGGCUACAGAAUCGGGCUGCGAUGUACGAAUGAGAGGAGAAUAUUUAACAAUGCAUGACCAUGAGGAAAAAUUACUUGUCAAGGCAGUAAGAUCAAAAAAUCGUCUCUACAAGGUAAUUAUGGGGAUCAAAGAGCCAAUGUGUCUCUAUUCAUCAACACAAACUGAUUCAGAAAAGUGGCAUGCGAGAUUAGGACACAUUAAUCUUGAGACAUUGAAGUCAAUGGUGAAAAAGGAACUUGUAACAGGGAUAUCAAAAGUUAACUUCGAGAAAAAGAUUUGUGGAUCAUGUUUACUUGGGAAGCAAACAAGACAAGUCUUCCCUCAAGCCACUUUGUUCCGAGCAAGCAAAGCACUUGAAUUGAUCCAUGGAGACUUAUGCGGACUGAUUAUACCAAGCACAGUGGCAGGGAACAGAUAUGUCUUUGUACUCAUCGAUGAUUAUUCAAGAUACAUGUGGACAGUGUUGCUUAAGGAGAAGAGCCAAGCUUUUAAAAAAUUUAAAAGGUUCAAGAGUCUAGUAGAACAAGAAACAGGGGAAAAAAUUCAGACUCUCAGGACAGACAGAGGAGGUGAGUUUGUAUCACAAGAGUUCAAUGAUUUUUGCGAGUCAACAGGGAUAAAGCGGCAUCUCACAGCUCCAUAUACUCCCCAACAGAACGGAGUUGUUGAAAGACGGAACAGGACUCUCAUGGAGAUGACCCGAAGCAUUCUAAAACACAUGCGAGUCCCAAAUUUUCUAUGGGAGAAGCCGUGAGACACUCUACUUAUUUAUUGAACAGAAUAGCUACAAGAUCAUUGAAAGACAAGACUCCGUAUGAGAUGUUGCGAUCCAAGGUCCCUAGCAUCAAUCAUCUCAGAGUCUUUGGCUGCAUAGGGUACGUGAAAACAGAGAAGCCUCACCUAAGAAAGCUGGAUGACAGGUCGCGUGUGUUAGUUCACUUAGGAACAAAGCCUGGCUCGAAGGCAUAUCGAUUGUAUGACCCGCAGAACAAGAAAGCAGUAGUAAGUCGUGAUGUUGUCUUUGAUGAAACAAAGGGGUGGAACUGGAACAGAACUAAUGAAGAGAGUGACAACAUAGGCGAACUGAAAAUUGAAUUUGGCCUCUUUGGAAACCACGGGAUCCAAGCAACAGAGCCAAACAGAGAACCUGAAAUCGAAAGAACUGAGGAAGAAGACACCAGAACAGUAGAGAUCUUUCCUAUGGACCAUGAAAGUGAUAAAGACAUAUCUGAGAAUGAAGAUGAAAGCCAAACGGAACCUGGAAAAAUAGUCACCAAGUCGAGAAGAGUAGUUACUAAACCUAAGUACCUUCAAGAUUAUAUCUUACUCGGAGAAGAAGAAGGAGAACGCUUACUAAUGUGCUUAGAUGAUGAGCCGUGGGAUUUUGAUGAGGCUAAGCAAUCAAAGGAAUGGAUGGCUGCUUGCAAAGAUGAAAUUCACUCCAUUGAAAAGAAUAAUACUUGGGAUCUCGUAGACCAACCACAAGGUGUGAAACCUAUAGGCUUAAAAUGGGUUUUUAAGCUUAAAAGAAAUUCUGAUGGAAGUAUAAGCAAACAUAAGGCUAGACUUGUUGCUAAGGGGUACGUACAAAAAUACGGAAUUGAUUUUGAGGAUGUAUUUGCUCCGGUAGCACGGAUUGAGACAAUUCGUCUUCUUAUAAGUCUCUCAGCUUCUAAGGGAUGGGAAAUACAUCAUCUUGAUGUAAAGACAGCAUUUCUACAUGGAGAGUUGAAAGAAACAGUAUACGUAAUGCAGCCGGAGGGAUUUAAAAGAGAAGGACAUGAAGACAAGGUCUACAAGCUGAACAAAGCCUUAUACGGACUAAGGCAGGCUCCUCGGGCAUGGAAUGAAAAGUUGAACGCUGUACUCAAGGAACUUGAGUUCAAGAAAUGCUCUAAAGAGCCAUCGGUCUACAGAAAAUGCGUGAACCAACACGUUCUUCUUCUUGCAGUAUACGUUGACGACCUAUUUGUUUCCGGAACGAGUGUUGAAGUGAUAAAGACUUUUAAGAAAGAGAUGGCAUCAAAAUUUGAGAUGAGCGAUCUUGGUAAAUUGACAUACUAUCUAGGAAUUGAGGUAUGUCAACACACCAAUGGAAUAACAUUGAGCCAAAAAUGGUAUGCAUUGAAGAUACUAGAGGAAGCCGGAAUGACUGAAUGUAACUUGGUUCACACGCCAAUGGAAGUAGGUUUAAAGUUAUCAAAGGCAUCGGAGGAAAAAGACAUUGAUGCUACAAGUUAUAGAAAGAAUGUGGGAUGCCUUCGCUACUUACUUCACACAAGACCGGACUUGUCUUAUUGUGUAGGUGUACUAAGCCGAUACAUGCAAACUCCCAAGGAAUCGCAUGGAGCAGCAAUGAAGCAGUGCUUACGAUACUUGAAAGGAACGACUACUCUCGGGUUGAACUUUAGCCGGUGUAAAGGAACGCCAAAGCUGACAGGUUACAGCGAUAGUAGCCACAAUGUUGACCCGGAUGAUGGAAGAAGUACGAUGGGACAUGUGUUCUACCUUGGUAAGAGUCCUAUAACAUGGUGUUCACAAAAACUGAGUGUGGUAGCGUUAUCAUCGUGUGAGGCGGAAUUUAUGGCUGGAACUGAAGCUGCUAAGCAAGCAAUUUGGCUCCAAGAACUACUAAGUGAAAUCGCCGGGACUUCUUGUGAGAAGGUUAUCAUACUCAUUGAUAACCAGUCAGCCAUCGCUCUCACAAAGAAUCCGGUAUUCCACGGUCGUAGUAAGCACAUACAUAGGAGGUAUCACUUUAUAAGAGAGUGUGUGGAGAACGGACAAAUAGAGGUUGCCCAUGUUCCGGGAGAUGAGCAAAAGGCGGACAUUCUAACGAAAGCACUUGGGAAAAUUAAGUUCAAGGAGAUGAGAGAGCUCAUUGGAGUUAGAGACAUGGAACGAGACGACUUCAAGCUUAAGCGGGAGAAUGUUGGAGUAAGCUUGAAGUUAACUUAAACCGGAAGUUUCUAGAAGACCAAAACCGAGUUAUGGUUUGUUAGAGAUAAAGAUCAAAUAUUAGGAGUUAUCUAAUAUUUGAUGUAAUCUUAGUGAGAUUAGGAUUAAGAGAGUCUUAUAAAUAGAGGGUUGAGUUAUGACCUAAACAUAUGAGUUUUGAGAGUUUUGGUUUUGAGAGAGAUUAAGAGAGUUUGAGUUUUGAGUUAUUUUCUUAAACUAAUAAAGUGAGUUAUACUUUAAAUCUUGUUGAUCUUAAAACCUUAAAUUUCGUUCUACAUUUAUUACUAGUACUUCCUUUUUUAAGAACUACUACAAAUGUAUUACUAUAUCGACUAAUUAAUUAGCCUGUUGUUAGCUGAAUUUAUUUUGUAUGGCUGAAAGUUCAAGAAUAUUAAAAAAUAAAUAUAUAAUAUCUGCAACUGGAAAGGAGAGUAGGGCCAUGAAAUUGGGACCAGGUCACCAACGCGUCAUGAGAGCGACCAUUAUUAUUUCCUUAAAGGAAUUUGCAUAGUAUUUUCUAUUUUAUACACACACAAAAAUAGAUUUGACACUGACACCAUACAAAUGAUAACGCAAAAAACACCAUGAAUAUCGAUGAUGUAAAUCAUUUCUGUUCAUUGUUUUCACAUAUAAAGUAAGAUAAAUGAAUUUGACUCAUCAUAUUCAACCAACUUUUUAUUUUAUUUUGGAACUAAAGCAAUUUCGAACAUCAUCAAAGACCUUCUUUAUUAUGUCAUGAGACCCUUGUUCUAAAAAUCCCCGCCUAGACCCGAUUACUCCCCGUUUAAUCGCUAGGCCCACCCUAUCCGCCUCGAUUAAUGACUAAUCCUCUAAAGAAAUCAGUCAUCCGAUUACUCUCCGCCUAAUCCGAUUACUUCCCGCCUAAUCCGAUUAUUCUCCGCCUAAUCUUACAUACCCCGAUUAUUUUUAGAUUGCUAGUAUAAAAAAACUUUUAAUUUUUGUUAUUCAAUCAUUUGAAUUGGGACUUUGUAAUGUUUUACAAUAACUUAUGUUCAAAUUUUAAUAAAAAUCAUAAAUUUGUAAUAAAAAUCAUAAAAAUUUGUCUCAAAAAUACAUUUUUAUGUAUUUACUGCAAUUUUGAAAAUAAUAUUGGAUUGAUAUGUUUUAAGAAUAUUAAAAUAACCCUAAAACUAAUCCCCGAUUAAUCCUCGAUUUUAAUCCGAUUUUCCGACUAAUCGCUAGGCCCAUGCCGAGCGCCCGACUAGCGCCUAGCGAUUUUUCAAACAAGGCAUGAGACUAAUGAGAAAGAUACGUUACGAAAAUAGAAACAAAAGUUACAAAACCGUCACAUUAAAAUAAAUAUAGAAUUUUAACAAAAAAAAUAAAUAAUAAUAAUAAUACUUAUAGAAACCAAAUUAAACCAACCAGAAAACUUAGUUUGGUUUUCUUGAAAUCAUUGCAUUCUUUUUCUUAUAUAUUAUUGUAUUUUACAACUAAUGGAGGUACUGAAAUACAUUUUGAAGGAAAUAUAAGAUUAAUGUUGUUAAUAGAAAUUUAUUCUUUGUUGGUCGUAACAAAGUAAGAAACUACAUACGCUCAUCAUCAUAAAAUUGCUCAGAAAAACGGAAGCAAAUGACAUGGUUUACGAGAUCACGUUUUGAUCACACACCGCAUCGAAUGAAAAUACAAAUCAGCAACAACAAACAACAACAAAAAAGUAUAUAUUAUACGAAAUAAAUGUAUAAAAUGAAUCGGUCGAUGUCAAUAAGUAUAGAACUCAGCCAAUUCUUCGACGGAUCCUCCUUCUUGACCAGACUUGAGCAUCCACAACAAGUGCUCGAACAAAACGACUUCACAAGCUACAACAAUUUCACGAUCUUGCUCGACGGAUCUAGAAGAAGACCGAUCCACGAGUUCUUGAAAGAGUGGAUGAGAGAUGAUGUCUGGUCUAAGCAUGUAAGGUCUUCGAGUUUGACCAACAUAAACCACAUGGAGAUUGUUGUCCUCUGAAAGCUCGUCCGAAACAGCCGCUGAGGAGGUUGAAUGGUGGUGGUUCUUGGCGAAAGAAGGCCAUUUCUUCAUAGCCGACUUGAGCUUUGUCAGCUUCCCAACUUUGGCCAUUGCUAAUGAUAUAACUGAUCUUUUUUCUUGGAUUUAAAACAAGAGAGUUGUUGAAACUAGCUAGGGUUUAGGGUUUACGAGGAGAUUUAUAUGUGUUGAUGUGAGUGUGUGUGGGGAUCAAAAUAUUGGAAGAAGAAGAGAGGAAUGUUUGAGAGAUGUUCUUGGGAGGAAAUAACGAGGAAGGUUCGUGUAUAUAUAUUGAGUGAAAUAGAGAGAGAACGUAUAAGUGCAUGACCCACCGAUUGAUGCAUAACAGCUAAGAGAGAUGAGGACAUAUAUGGCAAAACUAGUAUCGUUUUUGCCCAUUGUUUUUUCCGUUUUUUUGUAUCCUGUAAUUAUAAACAGAGAUUCGUAAUAAUUUUAAUUUUGUAACAAAUUUUGUUAUAUUAAUUUAUUUAUUUUCAUGUGAUUUAUUUCAUCAGUUGAUAUAUAUGAAAAAUGUAUAAAAAUGAUUUAUUAAUGACGGAAUGAUAACAUACGACAAGAAGUUUGAUAUGUAAUAAGAAAAAAUAGAUUAAUACGUAAAUGUUCUAGAUAAAAACACCACAGAUGUUAACCAUGAUUAGACCAUUUAUCUGGAUAUAUAUAUAUACAUUAUAAAAAUUAAUCUAUUUUAACAUGACAAAAACUAGUAGUAUUGAAUUAUUUGAUACUAUAUACACUAUUUAUCUUACCUGUGACAUUUUGUUUUGCCUACAUAAAUGUCAGACACCACAAAUCCAGUUUUGAAAAUCCUUGAUAAAUAUUCAUGUUUGUUGUAUAAGUUUUUUUGAAUUGUAUGUUAUGAUGUAUUAUAGUAUAUAAUAAUUUGUAGAAAUAUACGUAUACGUGCGGUGUGUGUAGAGAUGUGUAGGCAACCUCUUAUUGCGUGUUGUUGUCUAAUGAUCGGACAAAGAGUGAUGUUUUUUAGAUAACGAUUACAUCUUGUCCACAAUUUUGUUCACUAUUACCCGAUAAUGCUAAUUUUUUGUCGUUCAUAUUAUCAUGUAGUAUAUAGAAAACAAGUAUGGUCUUCAUCUGUCGAUUAACUUUGAUUUUCUUCAUUUCGUAUUAAUAACAUAUAUUAUAUAAUGAACUUUCAAAAACCAUACUACAAAAUUAACGAAGAAUCCUAAAAUCAUAUAAAUAAAUUGCACGAUAUUUAAGCAAAUUAAAAUAGGUUUUAUUGACGGAUGCAAAAACCAAUCACAAGGCAUAUUAUGUUCUUUUAACAAAAUAAAGUCCUUUUAUAUAGUGCAAAGACAUAAUUUUCAAUUAUAAAUAUUGUUCAUUUUUUUCAUAAAGUUUGUUUGGUAUUUCCGAGAAAUUAGGUGGAGAAGACCUUACCGUCUGUCUUUUAUCGAACACAAAAAGUUGUGGAUGGUAAGCUAAUCAUUUUAAGGAAUUUUAGAUACUUCUUUUUUAUAAAUGGUCGAACAUAUACUUGUUUAUGGCAAAAGAAAUAAAAUAGUAAUGUAGUACUCACUCAUCAUUAGACAUUAGAUAACUGUCUUAUCUUAAUAUACUUAUGUAAUUAUUCUAACGAUUUGAUCAAGAGUGAAUUUUUCUUUUUGAAUAGUGAGAAUUUUAAUGAAUUUUUGAAGAUUUAAAGAAAGGAAAAUGGCACAUGCACACACACACGCACAUAUAUAUUAUAUAUAUAUAUAUAUAUGCAUAUAUAUAUAUAUAUAUAUAUAUAUAUAUAUAUAUAUAUAUAUAUAUAUAUAUAUACUAGCAUCACACGAAACAAACAAGCAAUCUGAAUAUUGGAAUACUAAUUACUUCCGAUUCGUCAUCAUUGUACUGAUUAGCAUAAAUCGAGUUAUGAUAUACCUUAAUUAUAUAAAGGUAGCAACAUGAAUUUACUCAAUAUUCUAAGGUAUAGUACUUUUAGAAAUACAUUCUUUUGGAUUAGUUUAGAUAUUACUUAAAAAGUUAGGAACUUAUUUAAGAGAAAUUUUAGAUUAGUUGUAUUGAAAACAAGCUAGGGUCCAAAAUUAAAGUAGAGACAAGCCAGUUGGGAUGUUGUUGUUCAUGUAAGUGCGCGACAAUUGUGCAACUAAUCUACUUUAAUUUUGACUUCUAUAUAAUACGUAUUUCAUACAUUUAAUACUUCAUAUUGUAAAAAAAAAAAAAAAAGCAUAAAGUACCGUAAUAAGUCAUUUUUUCUUUAAGUAUCUGUCUAGAAAUUAAUUGUUAGCGUAGUAGUUGUAAUUUGUAAAUUGUUAUCUAUAAUGUAUAUUAUCGACGUAUGAAGAGGAUUUAUUUGUUCAUGAAUUUUAACUAAUUUAAAAAUACAAAGCAAAAAUAAUUUAUAUUCGUGUUUAAACAGUGGUGUACUGUUUUUUUAUUUAUUUGACCUGAUCCAUUAUGGAUUUGGAUAUGUGUCAGAAUAUUUUUUUUGAUAAUGGAUUUUAGGUUUGGAAAUGUUUUUUUUUUUUUUUUAAUAAGAUUUUUAGGGAUCGGUUAUCCCCAAACAAAGUAAGAUUUUAAGGUUACAUAAGAACUAAGCAUGUCUUAAUCAUAUCACUCAAUUAAAGAUCUAAGAUGAUUUUACUAACUACCCAAUUACUACAACUAAAUCAACUUGGAUUCUCACGCCUGUCAUGAUACCAUCACAUCACUUUAUUCAAAAUUUGUGUUACUGUAAAAAAAAAAAAAAAACACUCAAAAUUUGUGAUAUUUGAACAAUAGUUUCAAGUGAUUAAAUUAAAACAUAAUCGUACAAUAAUUUUCUUCAAGGAUGAAAACAUAAAGUAGAAAAAAAGAAAAAGAAAAACAAACGUCACAAAAUUGGAGUGAUUAUCUCCAGCGUUUCAGUAUAUUAAUACUCAACAACACAAGGAGCCUUGCAUAGCAAGCAACAAGUCUUGCUUCUUACUCUGAUGCUUUGGUCUUCUUCUUUUUCUUCUUCUUUGUGGGCUCUGAUGUUGCUUUUCUUUUAGACUUCGAAUUAUCCUUCUCGUCUUGGUCUAUCAAAUGCUCGUACUCUUCAAGACUCGCAAAUGGAGAUUUCCGUUUUCUUUUCUCUUUCUUUUUCUUCUUACCACGACCAUCAUCACCAUCACUAUCAUCAUCACCAUCACUAUCACCAUCAUCAACAUCUUCCCCAUCAAUCAGGUCCAUGUCCAUGUCUGUGUCCAUCUCUGCAUCGCUCACAUCAGCCACGAGCUCUUCAUCAUCCUCGCCGGCUACUCCAUCUAGAUCAUCAUAGUCAUAUUCACCCCCCUCUUCUUCCACAGCAUUAUCAUCAACAUCAUCCAGCAUAUUCUCAAUCUCCUCAUUGUCACUCUCAUCACUACCCUCGAAUUCAACAUCACUACCGUAGUUUUCUCCACCAUCACCAUCAUUCACAUCGUAAAGUUCUUCAGCAGCUUCUUCUUCAGGUAGCUUCUUCUUCUUCUUCUUUUUCUUUGACUGCUUCGUACUGUUCAUCUUGUUCACAUAGAACUUGUGGAAGACUAGAUCUUCAGGAGCCACAUCUCCUUCUGCUAAUGAGAGAAUCUCAGCUCCAAUCACACGGUUUGACAUGUCAAGCUGCACAUGAGAAGAAAAAGAAGAAAAAAUUAAUCGUUACAGGGGAAUGUAAAUAACAAAAUGGUUAAAGCUUUAAUAGUUUGAAGCUUGAGCUUUUUACCUUCUUGGAAGGUUCGAUCUGGGAACCACCAUGCCAAGUGUUUUGCUUUGGUUUCUUCUCCAUGAAUUUAUCCAAGAAAGCAGUUAGAGAUAAAUCGUUCAGCGGGUUUCCGUUGUAAACAAUAUUUGUUCCUGAGAGAAGGGUUCCCGCCAUUGUAGCAACCGAGGGGUGAGCAUGUUUUGAAAGAACCACCAACUCCCACCAACUUGCACGGUCUGCGUUACUGUUAAAUUGAGAUCAAGGAUUCAGUUCCAACCAAGGCUAUAAUAUCAAAAAAGUUUCUAAAAUACUAUCGUUGUUCCAACUUCCAAGCAUAGCUUGUCAGAUUUAAUUGGGAUAAAAGCAGUAUACUUAAGCUUUUGAUGAAAUAUGAGAUUAACUGACCAGUAAGAAGGUUCUCUAUGACGAGGAUCAUAUCCUCCAGGAAGAGAACUCGAUUUCACAAGCGGUUGACUUCUUUUUUCCAUAUCAUUAGAAACCUCCAUGGUUUCUUGAAGCUGGGGAGUUUCGUUUCUAAUUAGCUCUUCAGAAUCAUCAGAAGCAUAAUCAUCUUCUUCAUCAGAUUGCCUGACUGCCAAAGCCUCUUCUUCAUCUGAAGAAGAAUCACCAUCUCUACUUGUCUUUUCGCCACCAUCAUGAUCAACUUCAACAUCGUUCUCAUCAUUCUCUGCUUUCUUAUUGGGAUCAAUAUCAUCUCCCUCUAUCACAUCCUCAAAAUGUUCUACAUCUUCUUCUUCCUCAACUGAUUCCCUCUGGACCACCAUCUUCCUGCAAGGUAAAUAGAAGGACCGAUUGUAUCAUCGGGUAAAAGCCAUGGAUAUAUGGUUAACAGAACGAACAAAGCUUACCAUAGAGGUGGCCUUGCUUUUAACACUUCAGACAAUAGGAAAAGGCAUCCACAGGCAUACUGUGGUGGCUGUUGAAGCGCAACCUAUUCAAAUAGUUAAAGAGUAAAAUUUUAGAGAUAACACAACAAUUACUAUACAGAGUGUCUCGACAUCGAUAAUUUAAUACCAAAAGAAUCAAGGAUCCUGUAUAAAACAAAUGAUAUAAAUAUUGCCAAUGAAACUAGAGCUAUCAACGACAACGUUGAUAGUUUAUUUUGUUCAUGUUACCGACCUGCAAGACUCUUUUGGAGAAUGCAGCCACACGCUUGACAUUUAUAUCAUUUUUCAUGGCUCUGAGAAGAAGCCCAAUAAACAUUUCAACCUGCAAUUAAAAACAGCAAAUUAGUAAACUCGGUUAUCAAGAAAAUGCUAUGGUUCAUGCCAGGGGGAGACCUAUUGAUGUUUUUGUCAGAAAAUAUAAGUUGCUUUCACAAGUUUAGAAAUAAUUGAAUGUACCUAUUGUAAGGAUUAUAACCCAUUCAUUAACUAAGAAUAAAAUGACGUGAUUGGAACAUGGAAAAACAGAAGCUUCAAAAUUUAGCUUGCCUUGGAAGAAUUCAUUGCGGAAGGGAGUAGAAGUUUCGAGUACAGUGCACGGUAAAACCUGUCACUAACAAUCUUAUUCUUGGAUGAGAUCUUGUCAAGAAGCAUCAGUGAUUGAACUCCCACAUUGAAAUUCGCCGAGUGUACCUACAUACAUUCCAGAUCCCAUUUUCUUUAUCAAUUUUCUGUUGCAACUAAUGAAACAAAACGUAUAUAAUGAAGCUUUAAUUAAUGGUUACCAGUUUGAACAGCACCGGCGUCUGGGAUUCAAUUAUAUCAUCAGCCUCAUCAGUGGAAACAUAUGGAAAAGCUCUGUUAACUCCCUGCAAUUACGGAGUACUAAGGCAUAAGUUGAUCUCUAAAGUCUCAAAGCUUUAAAAUUAUGUUAUAUCAUGUACACCAAAAAAACCCAUUCGGACUAACCGUCAGUAGAGCUGAUAGAAUUCUUGAAUCCAACUCAAUAGGUGAAUCAGUUGCCACUUCUUGUUUUGUGUCCUUUGGGUUGGAUUUUUUCUUAUCAGCGGCUCCUUUGUCAUCUGCGCCUUGUUUCCUAUUUGCUUCUGUAGUUAAAACCUACAAGAAUGCAAACACACUCCUGUAUCUCAGACUUGAGUGAAUACCCAACUGGUGAAAGAUUUCAUGUUAUGACUUAUGACAAACGCCACCCCAAGGGGGGACAAGACUUUAAGACGAUCAUAAGAAAAUGUUUAAUUAGAUUGACUUCAGAUGCCAGUUACCUUAAAUAAGGCAAAAUAUACAUCAAUUAGACGUUUUGCCACCUUCGGAUCCUCUCCUUUGUGGCUCAAUCGGAUCUGACUCAAAAAGUUAACCUGUGAAAUUUACAAGGGUUAAUGAGCAUUGUUUAAGAAAAGUUAAACAUGGAUAAGUUUAUGCUUCUUUUCUUCUCUAAAGUCUCAGUAAAAUGGUUUCCCAUUCAAAUCAAAGAAGCCAAAUAUAAUAUUUUUGAUGACAAUAAGCAUGAAUUAGUUUAAAGAGAUGAGUAAGAAAAUAAAGAAAAAUGGUUCUCGUGAACCUAAUUAGAGUACAGCAAUGGAAAAUGGACAUACAGCAUGAUAUUUUGCACGUAACCCAAGAUGGGGUCGGAAGAGAAAGGAGUCAACUUCAUCUAUAACCACAGCCUGCAAAAAUAAUAUUACAUGAGCCAAAGAGAAGAAUCCAAACAACCAAUCAAUAAACUAAAUCCUGAAACUGGCAUAGAAAGGUUGAAUAGCCGCACCUUCAUGUUAGGAUGAUCCGCCAAAAGAUUUGUCAGGUGAUAAUCAGCAUUAGAUGCACUCUUGUUUUGAGGAUCCCCCAACUAUAUAAGUAAUCCACGGAACAAUUAAGGGGAUCACAACUGAGAAAUUUAAAUUAGAUACAAAUAUUCGAAAGAACAACUGACAAUACCUUGUUCACCAAUGACACUAGCAAUUUCCGCUCUUGUUCUGAUUUGCUUGUCAACAUGAAAUAUAUUGUCUGAAAACAAACAAAAUAAACAUUUACUAAGGAAAGAUCUGAAUCACCUUACGAAGCAAAAAACUCACUAUAGCUGAAAGAAAACCAAGGACCAUGCAGUUAUGCAUCAUCCAGAGAAGGAUUACAUUGAUAAUACUCAAAUGUCUAAUAUGAUAGCUCAUCAUGAAUCUUACAAAACCUGAGACCAGUGCUACUAAACAAGCUAGCGGGUGCAGAGUGGUGAUAGGAUAUACAUACCUUCAAAGCCUUGUCUUUAAGCUCUGGAAGCAUAUCUUUAGAUGAUUCAUCAAGGGCUGUGACGAAGCGCUCAUACCUACAAAGUCAGCAUGGUAAGCUGUUAACCGAAUCAUCGAUCCAGAACUAUUACUGAUAGAAGAUACAAAUCUUGGACAUAGUGUGAUAAACACAUCCCUCGUGGCAUGAUUUCAGAUCUUGAAAGAAGCUUAACAAAUAACGUGAUGUCCCUACAGCUAGAAGCAAAAUGACAAGAUUUUCUUUACCUCUGUUUCAAGCAAUCCUCCCAGUACCAAAACAGCAAAAGCGAGUAACCAUCCUUAUUUUCCGGAAUCCUGUUUAAGGGUCGCUGUAAAAGUGUCUUCAGCUUGCGAUCAGGUAAUAACCUGGAAAAAAAAAGCUCAGUUAACGAGAAAAAAAGAUGCAAGACUGAUAUGAUUCUGGACACAUAAGUCUAUAGCUCAUCGGGAGAGUAAGAAAAAUGUGCCUGAUCAAAAUUUCUGAUAGAGCCUUAAGACCCUUAAAUGCAAAUCUUUUUCCAACUUUUGAGGUCACCAUUCCUGCAAUGAACGAGACAUCAACAAAAUGCUACAGGUGAUUUCACCAUUGGAAAACAAAACGACUCAAAUUCGCAAUUCACAAUUCAAUAACACAGUUUUCUUCGAGAACAAGAAACAUACCCAAUAAGGCAUCAAGAGACCUCAUAUUUGCAAUGGGAUUCUCUCCAACCAUGAUCUCAAAGGCAGUGAUUUUAUCAGCUACUGUCCCAGACUUUUGAGCAGAAAUCACCAUCUUCAUAUCUCCACUCUUUCCCUUCGAAAUUACAAAGUCCUCUGCGUAUUGCCACAUCAAUCUCUCUCCUAAUUCUCUCUUCUUCUCCACCACACCCUUAAAAUCCUCCUUAUUCGUCACCGCCACUUUCCUGCCACCAAACACCUUCUCCUCAAGCUCCGCUGCAUCAUUGUACCAUUCCGAGCUCAAUAAACUCGCUUUCACCAAUGGUAACUUAGGCAAACUCUUGAAUUCAUCGAAACGUUUGGCCUUAAUCCCAGUACUCUCAUCAUCAAUCGAUAAAAAUCCAGGCUUUGGCUUCGGUUGUAUCGUUUGCUUCACUGGCGCAUCUUUGUUUUGCUUACUCGCUCCAAAAGCGUUUCCCUCUUCAUUCCCAAUGUUCGAAUUUGGCUCUCCUUCUUUAACUUCAUUCUUGUGUUUCUGAUCCUUCUUAGGUUUUUUCCGUUUCUGGGUUUGGGAUUUAGCGGGUUUUCGGAAAUCAGUAUCGUUGAAACCAGAAGAAGGAAGAGAUGAAGCUAAGCCGAUAGAAGAAGCGAAUGAUGCGAUAUCAGAUGUGAGAAGACUCAAGUCCUGCGAUGAUUUACUCAAAGGCUUUAACUUUGACAUUUUUUUUUUCUCCGAGCAUAUGAAGAGGGUUAUGAGAUUUGUGGAAGAACGGAGACAAUUAGGUUUAAUCAAUCUCUGUGCUUUGAGAUGAGACAAUGAAAAAGAAAGAAGAAAUUUCAGUGUGGGGGUUCAACAAGUUUUGCUAGGGUUUUAGAAAACGGCAAGAGAGAAACAGAUGAAAUGGCUGAAGGGUAAUUUAGUAAUUUAUGAUAUAAGACAAGGGCAAAACAGACUUAACGACCUAAAUCAAUAAGAUGAUUUUUUUUUUAGUUGGGUUCCUGAGACGGUCGAAGCCCAAUUGCUAAAACAUGCGUUUAGUUAUAUAGUCUUAUUAAGACAGAUAAAAAACAUAAAGGACAUUAUGUAUUUUAUUUUAAAUAAUUUUUUUACAAAAGAACAUAUUAAACCGAUGACAAAACCUCAGCAAAACCGACGGUGCGAAAUCUCUCUCUUUCUUCUCUCUCUAAUAUUUUUCAGAGAGAUGGGGGUUUCUUCGAUGUCAUCACCGUCCGGCUUAGUUUGCUGGAUUUUGUGACCGGCCGAGGUCCGUUAUCACCAUCAGUUUAGCCGUAACACGACUUUUCCGUUGUCGUGUUUUUGCCGUCAACACGACUUUUCCGUUGUCGUGUUCUUGCCGUCCGAUCUGAGUUGACGAUGAACCAUCUUUUGAUGGAUCGAUCAAUUUAGUAUAUCUAAUUUGUGGCGAAAGGUUAUUUGAAUAAAUGAGUUUCGUAAAGCAAAAAUCAAAAAGCCAAAGAUGAUGGAAUUUUCUGGGGUUUCGACCAUGUCCUUUUGGUAGACGACGUGAAUUAAGCUUCCAUGCGAAAUCUUCAUUAGCUUUCUCUGGUGGUCCAAUGGUAUCACUAGUUUUCCGGCGGACUCUCGAAGUGCUCAUCAUCGUUCCGGUUAUCGUCAUCCUACGAACAAGAUGUAGACACGUGGCUUUCCUCCUUCAAUGGGUUAUCUUGUUUGUUUGGGUUGAACCGUUGAAGUGUUUGGUGACACGUAGACUUAAAGAAUACUUGCUUUAUGUGCUGGCUCGUAAUGUUUAUAUUUUUGUUAUCAAGCUUUUAAUUAUGAAGUUCAGGUUUUAUCACUUUUUAGUUCUAAGUUUAGCAGUUGGAUGGGUCACAGUUUGAAGAUUUCCAUGAUGUCUUCAAAAGAUUCUACUACUAAUCUAUGUUCUUCUGAUACGAUGGUGUGCAAGAAGCUGUCAUGACAUAGGCAUAAGAUGGAAGCUAUAAGAUCAGAUUCGAAACUUGGUUUUCGUUUUUCUGUUCUUAUUGGAGAGUCAUGAUGAUUUGCUUUUACCAAAUGCUACCAUGUUAGAGCCUUCUCUUUAGUAGCUGAAUGUUGUACCCUUCUCUGUAUUUCUAUGUUUGUAAAGUCUUGUGUUUUAUAUUUUUACUCUGUAUUUCUCUGUUUGUAAAGUUAGGUAUGUGUUGUAUCUCUUGUCCUUGUACUUGCCUCUUCAAAAUGGAUUUCCAUUCAUGGAUGAUGCGUUUGUCUAAUAUAAUAGAAAUCACUUUCUGGAAAAAAAAAAAA
This 38602-nucleotide long non-coding RNA is filed under the name Arabidopsis lyrata. Its description in RNAcentral is "long non-coding RNA (ALYR_LNC002865)". The record is from RNAcentral. Lineage: Eukaryota; Viridiplantae; Streptophyta; Magnoliopsida; Brassicales; Brassicaceae.